This 439-nucleotide ribosomal RNA is filed under the name Venezillo stuckchensis. RNAcentral describes it as "partial large subunit ribosomal RNA". It matches the Rfam family "Bacterial large subunit ribosomal RNA", at positions 1859 to 2609 of the family's 2925-position model. The record is from RNAcentral. Lineage: Eukaryota; Metazoa; Arthropoda; Malacostraca; Isopoda; Armadillidae.
CUGCUCACUGAUUUAUCUUAUUUAAAUAGCCGCAGUACUCUGACUGUGCUAAGGUAGCGUAAUCAUUUGUUAAUUAAUUGUUAACCUGUAUAAAAGAAUUGACGAGAAAAAUUCUCUCUCUCUGUAUAAAGACCAAAUUGAUUUUAAAGUUAAAAAGCUUUAAUAUAAUAAAAAGACGAUAAGACCCUAGAAUCUUCACUUUAAAAGUUUUGUUGGGGUGACAUUUUCUUUUGUAUAAAACUAUCCCUACCUAUUAAAGGGUAAUAACUAGCUUAUAUAAUAAAUACAACUAGAUACUCUAGGGAUAACAGCUUAAUCCUCCUUAAGAGACCCUAUCGACAGGGGGGAUUAAGACCUCGAUGUUGAAUUGACUUUACCCUUCUAGGCAGCACUAGAAAAGGUAGGUCUGUUCGACCUUUAAAAAGUCACGUGAUCUGAG